GACGAACGCUGGCGGCGUGCUUAACACAUGCAAGUCGAACGGAGAGGCCCUGCUUUUGUGGGGUGCUCGAGUGGCGAACGGGUGAGUAACACGUGAGUAACCUGCCCUUGACUUUGGGAUAACUUCAGGAAACUGGGGCUAAUACCGGAUAGGAGCUCCUGCUGCAUGGUGGGGGUUGGAAAGUUUCGGCGGUUGGGGAUGGACUCGCGGCUUAUCAGCUUGUUGGUGGGGUAGUGGCUUACCAAGGCUUUGACGGGUAGCCGGCCUGAGAGGGUGACCGGCGACAUUGGGACUGAGAUACGGCGCAGACUCCUACGGGAGGCAGCAGUGGGGAAUAUUGCACAGUGGGCGGAAGCCUGAUGCAGCAACGCCGCGUGCGGGAUGACGGCCUUCGGGUUGUAAACCGCUUUCGCCUGUGACGAAGCGUGAGUGACGGUAAUGGGUAAAGAAGCACCGGCUAACUACGUG
RNAcentral lists this ribosomal RNA (468 nucleotides) under uncultured bacterium. Its description in RNAcentral is "partial 16S ribosomal RNA". It matches the Rfam family "Bacterial small subunit ribosomal RNA", at positions 28 to 507 of the family's 1533-position model. The record is from RNAcentral.